GCAGAGGCCUUCAAAUGCUCCAAUGCAGACCACGGAUGCUCUUGUGUCCAAGUCCCCUUCUGUGCUCAGUGUGCUGAGAAAUGGGUGUUCUUCAGUGACAGUGAAAGAGGUCAGCUGCGAGACGGUGCAUUAGCUGGGUGAUCGCCCUAAGUCUCAGUCUUUCUGCCUGGAAUUCAGGGAUGCCGACAACCUCAUGAGGCUGUACUGUGAAUGGCAGAAGACACACAGGCUCGGCACAGUGUCUGGCACCUGGGAACAGCUAGGUCAGUGCCCGCUACUGCUGCAUUCAGAUAGUUAAUAAAAGGCACUGACUGGGCCAUACUGCAAGUACUUUCAGCAAUGCCAAAACUCCCUUAGCUUAAAGAGAGGAAAGGAAGAGGAAGAAAACCCUCUACACUCAUCCAUCAAUUGUUGAGAAUCCACUGUGUGUCCAUUAAGUCUAAGGUCAGUGUGAGCUGCUCCUGGGAAAAUGAGGCACAGGGCACCUCCUGCCCUGGGGACACAGAGUUCACAGGCUAAAUUGUGACGCUGGUUGAGGAAAAUGGUGUCUUGGAAGCAAAGAGAAAAGAGGAAGUGAACUGGGAAGGCAGUCUCCAGGGAGAGAGAGCACAGAGAGACAGUGCAGUGUGACCUAGUCUCUCCCGGAGGCAGGGGGGGGCGGGAGGUGCCAGGCCAGGCCUGAUGGGGGCCCAGCUCAUGGCACCAGCGAGGCUGUUGGGUCUUGUGUUUUCAGGUUACCAGGCCAAUUCCACAGCCCUGCCUCACAGAAAAUCCCCUCUGGCAAAAAAGAAAAAAACAAAAAAACACAAAAUCCUGGGCCAAAGAGGGGAAGGUAAAGUCUGUGCAGAAUUAAAAAAAGCCAAAUCUGGGCAGAGAAUACAAGUUGUGCCCUAUUAGCAUUUUUAAAGAAGAAAGUAUUGGCUUCAACAAUAGACACUGUUUUUCCAAACCCAAAGCCACCCAAAAUCUUCUUAAAUACGAAGCCACAAACUCUGCAAAUCAUUAUACCCAGUAUUAAAUAAUACGCAGGCCUCCAACUUUCAGAUUACCCUCGGGAUAAAAGAGAUCACUAAUUAUGCCAGUGACAGGAAGCCGACUGCAUGGUAUACGUGUCUGUGUGUGUUUGCCUAUCACGGGGAGCGGACAGGGAGCAACAGGACAAGAUAUCCUGAGAAAGAAGUGAAAUCAAAGCUGACUUAACCUGGAACUUUGUGGUUAUGCAAACACAACAGUGAUUUCCAACCCAGUGAAACUUGGCACAGAAAACUCAAACUUUUCGUAUUAGGGCCAGAGAAUGACUUUCAAAUUUCCCAAAUGCUUCUGAAGUAUUACAGUUGUGUUUCCAGUUAUCCCUGAUGACACAUUAUGUUGAAAUUUCUACUUUAAGUUCAUAAAGGUUUAGUGCUAUGUUUUCAAAAAGUAAAAACAAAUGAAAAGCCAGUGGACUGGGAUAAUAUUCCAUCUGAAAUUUCAGCACGUUAGUGGGCUAAGGGUGACAGAAAGGAGAUGGGUGAGGAGGUGUGGAGUCCUGGGAGGAUGUGGUGGACAAUGAAUGAGUUCGGCCAAGGAAGACUAGGACCAAGGGCCAGAAGGUAAGUGUGAUCAUAGUGCAAAGAUGAGGGUUGAUUAACUAGACAUGUAUCUUGUCUUAGUUACUUCUCAUCACUGGGACAAAAUAGCCAACACUCACAAUGUAACGGAGGAGAGGUUUACUUUGGCUUGCACUUUGUGGAGGUUUGAGGACAUUGUCAGUUGCCUCCAAGGCAGGGCAGCAUGGCCAGGGAGGCCUGCUGAUGGCAUGGCAGGAGAAAGCAGUCACCAAUCAAGAGAGAAGGUGGGAUACACAUUUCCUUCCAGGCCACGCCCACACAGAUCCCCCUCCCAAUCGGCUUCCAGCUAUGAACCUAUCACAUCCAGUGAUGAGAAUGACAUUGUUAUGAUCCAGUCACCUCCCAAAAGCCCCACCUGUGAGCCCACGAGGCCUUGGGGGGACACCUAGACAUAAGCCAUAAAAUAUCUAAAGUCUGGUUGGAAAGGAGGCUCUGGCUAUAGUGGUGUACAAAUUCCCAGAGUUAAGGAUUAGGCAGACAGAAGGUGUAAGGUCCAUCAGUGGAUAUUAAAAAUCUAGCCCAGGGCAACUAGAGGACAGAGGGGUGCAGACUCAGCUGGUACAAAGGCAGGGUGGAGGCUGGUUUCUGGGCACUAGUCCUUGUAGUCAGUCUUGCAGUCAGGAAGGACAGGCCGGAAGGUGAGUGGGGAGGGAUGUGCAGUCCUCAUGUGGAGGGUGACAGCGAGCAGGCUCCUUCUCAGGGAGAGACGGAAGGUGGAGAGUGGAUGCUGAGACACUCCAACAGAAUGGAGUGUGAUCUCUGGUUGAGAAGAGGAGGCAAGAACAGAGCUAUAUGCAGAACACUGCAACCACCUGUGUGCUGCUUCCCAGGUAGGUAGUGAGCAUUUACCUGAGCGAUAAAUACACUCCUGGAUGGAUGAGACUCCCCUCAGAGGGGCAGUGAGUCUCAAUCAGCCUACCUCGGGUCACACGUGUUCUGGGCAUCACAGAUGGCACAGCAUUUUGUGGUACUGCAGGGAACGUGCUGGUCAUGCUGGGGGUUGUUUGGGAGUUUAGAAAAAGCCAGAAAGGAUAUACAGAAGACAAGUACCAGUUGGAGUUGCUUUUCAUGUCAUACCUGCUUUCAAUCUGACACACACACUGGGGGACCAGAACGAUGUGCCAAGUAUCCUCCUUUGGUUGGAAAAAACAGGCUGUAAACCUUGAUCCAUUUGCCUGUGCACUGCCUCUCCCUGAUAACCCAGGUGAUGCAAAUGCAAGAUUUCUUCUGCUAGCCAAGGAAGGCAUUUUUGAUGUUUGAUGGCAGCCCAAAGUUCCUAUUUACACCGUAAAAUCACUGAAGGUGACCACUUGCUUCUCCACCAUUAUCAAGCAUAUUUUGCUCCUGACCAUUCAUAAACCACCACCAAGUGGCUCUGCCCAAAACAGCACACAGAAGAAUGCAAUGUCCAUAUGGAACACAAACCAGGACUGCCUGGUGGGCACUGAUAAAGGGGUGACCUGCGCUGACACAGCUGCAUUCCCAGUGCAGAUGCCAAGAGCUGACCCUGUGUACAAGUGGGAGAAAUCAGUCUCCCCAGUAUUUUUAAUCUUAAAAGAGAGAUGGGGGUAGGCAAAGGUGACUUAGUCUCUCUUCAUUUUAAUCUGGCUUUCAACACAUUCUUUCUAGGCAGGAAGUGGAUGCUUGGUACGUUUCAUCUCCAUUUCCCUGCCUGUCUGACCUGCUACCCCUGGCUAUUAAUCUGGGACCGCAGCGGCGGCUGGGCAGAUACACAAGGCGGGCCCUCCCAGAAAUGCUGGAGGAAGCCCAGAGCUGAAACCAGCAGAAUACAAAUGAGGGCGAUUUCUGCCUGGUGAUGGAAGUGUACUGAAGCCGGGCUCUGAGAGGCUGGAAGACAAGCAGUGUAGUUUCUGCAUGCAGCUCAGCUCAGCAGAACAAGUGGCUGACCUUUGGUAGGCCAGCGGCCCCGCAGGGAAGCCGUCUUCUCUCGGAAAAGCCCUCGGAAUGAUAAACUCCCAGUGUGACACAGGAUUGUGGUGUGUGCAUCGCAUGGUGGCCUUUCGUGGCUCAGGUCACAGCACACCAUGCAGGAAUGGCGAAACUGUUGCUGACAGAGAACAAGAAAUUCAUGUGCCGGGGGAGGGCCAUCUCACGGUGGGAUCAGCCUUGAUCUGCAACCGGAUUACAGGGGCCUUAGAAGUGGCUGAUUAAUAAUUCUGCAGGAGCCCUGAGCUGGAAAACUGCUACGUAUGUCGAUGAAAAUGCCCUGACUGGCUUACCUUACCGUGUGAGUGUUAUGGCUCUACAUAGCAAUAACAGCAUGUCCACAAAAGCAAGUCACAGUACCCUUACACAUAAGUCGGGGCUGUCUGAACUGCUGGGUUUAAAAUCAUCAUUAGUCAGCACCAAGGUGCCUGGGAGCUUAUGAAGACAAAGCAAGGCAAGAGAGAAUUCUCGCUGCUUCUCAUCUGCUGCACACAGGAGCUGGUGGCGGGAGGGAGUGCGGGUCCCAGGAGGGGCAUGCUGGUGGUCACCGGGGACCCUGGGUACACACAGCAGUGGAGUGUGAGGAGGACGGCACAGGCACUGACCCUCACACCUCCCACCGCUGUAGCCCAGGUGGGAGCUGGGAUUAGCUCUGGAAGGCCUCAGGGAGUCCUGGGGAAAGGUGCUAUGAAGGCUCUCUGGGGAACAGGGCAGGUGACACAGAGGGGAGGGGUGGGGGUGGAGGGCCCAGCUGUGGCCAGGGAUCAGAUGAGGACGCCUGGCUGACCUUUCUGUUUUGGGCUGCACCACCAACUGCUGCCUCAAGCCCGAGGAAUCCCGAAUCCCUCAUCUUCUCCCUCUGAAAGUAACUGCUACUUUCCUGUUUCACUCUGUGGGUGGCUCCUCCAUCUCAUGACGGCUAACAUCUGACCACCUGAGAAUUACUUUGGACUACUCUUUCCUUUUCCUGAACAGUGUCUGAGCUUUUCCACUGCACCUACAAACUAUUCAAUUGUUUAUUCCCUAGUCAUCUAGUCAUUUUGGACAAAAUAAUAAUAAUAUUAAUAAUAACAAUAAAUAUUUACCACUCUAUAU
Long non-coding RNA from Cavia porcellus (domestic guinea pig), 4652 nucleotides. RefSeq lists it as uncharacterized. The transcript has 3 exons. Lineage: Eukaryota; Metazoa; Chordata; Mammalia; Rodentia; Caviidae. The record is from RefSeq and is a predicted model, not a curated record.